AGAGUUUGAUCCUGGCUCACGAUGAACGCUAGCGGCAGGCUUAAUACAUGCAAGUCGAGGGGUAACAUUGGAGCUUGCUUCAGAUGACGACCGGCGCACGGGUGCGUAACGCGUAUGCAACCUACCUAUUACAUGGGGAUAGCCCGAGGAAACUCGGAUUAAUAUCCAAUAGUAUAAUAAUAUCGCAUGAUAUAAUUAUUAAAGAUUUAUUGGUAAUAGAUGGGCAUGCGUACCAUUAGAUAGUUGGUGAGGUAAUGGCUCACCAAGUCAGCGAUGGUUAGGGGGCCUGAGAGGGUGAUCCCCCACACUGGUACUGAGAUACGGACCAGACUCCUACGGGAGGCAGCAGUAGGGAAUAUUGGUCAAUGGGCGAGAGCCUGAACCAGCCAUGCCGCGUGCAGGAAGACGGCCUUCUGGGUUGUAAACUGCUUUUGACAGGGAAG
This 443-nucleotide ribosomal RNA is filed under the name uncultured bacterium. Its description in RNAcentral is "bacterial SSU rRNA". It matches the Rfam family "Bacterial small subunit ribosomal RNA", at positions 8 to 447 of the family's 1533-position model. The record is from RNAcentral.